Lepisosteus oculatus (spotted gar) is the source of this 515-nucleotide non-coding RNA. The record is from RefSeq and is a predicted model, not a curated record. NCBI's taxonomy places the organism in Eukaryota, Metazoa, Chordata, Actinopteri, Semionotiformes, Lepisosteidae.
AGCACGCUGCCAACACGGACAGAUGAAUUAAGGAAGAUUUCCAAAGGAAGCUGGAAAGAGAGGAGACAGGGAAUAAAUAAUGCAGGAUCCCAUCUGCCUGGCUAAAUUCCUACAAUCCUCUGCGUCAGGGAUGGGGAGGCUCCAGUCCUUGACAGAAGGAGCACCUCUACCUCAUCAUUACCACCCAUCAUUUACAAAGGCCAGGGCUGGGCAAUUGCUCUAUAGUGUAAAGAACAAUUCGGAAUUGACGAUCCAAGAAAAAGCUGGCUGUCAAAUCUGUUUUGCAAGCCAGCCUUGUCCCUAAAUGAACUACCAACAUCCAGUGUGAUAGAAGGAAAGGGCUUCCUGUCAGCAAUCACGAAAUGGACCUAACGGACAUGGACCCAAUCGUUUCUAACAACUUCAAGUGUACACCCCUUAAUGAAGGACAACCAGUCAGUAGAAUGUUUGAAAAAAAUACAACAACAAAAGCUUCUAAUUUAAGAGCUGACUUUCAGUUCUGAGAUGAAGGAGAA